GGGUGUUUUGUAGCAGAAAUCUGUAUUUGGUUAGUACUUUUUCUUCAGGUAAGUCUAGGCACAUGAAUUCCUUUCUAAAAAUAGUUCGUAUUUUUCUCUUCCGCCAAUCUUCAGCUUCAUUUAUCUACUUACUCUGAAUUAGUCCUGGACAGUACUCUAUGUUAAUUUCUUGCUUGGGGAUAUGAUUGUGUGUGUAUAGCCAAAUUUACUAGGUGUAUAUUAAUUCAUCAUGAUUCUCUGCUGCUUCUUGAUGGAAUGCUGCACCCUCAAGGCUGGUAAUAGAUUGAUGAAGGCACAUUUCCCAUGGAAAUAGUGGUUUCUCUUUUCUCUCUGUCCAAUAUAUAGCUGAAUUGAGUACAAGUAGCGACAAGAGGGGUUGCUCUGAUGGUAAGCCUCUCCUCUGUACACUAUACAGCUGAAUUGAGUAUAAGUAGCAUGUGUUAUACAUUCUUGCUUGAUAUGGUUCAUUUCGAUAGUUUAAGGUAAAUAGAGUACUUGUUACUUGUUUUAAGGACAAAGAAUCUCUUACUUUACUGGGUCUCUCGCAAGUGAGGCUAAGAUCUCAGAGGCAACAGAAACCUUCUCCAUUGCAUACAAGUUCCUGCUCUUUUCUAUGUCUAAAGAGUAUGUAGACAAGAGGGGUUGCUCAGAUGGUAAGCAACCCCCACUUCCAACCGAGAGGUUGUGAGUU
RNAcentral lists this long non-coding RNA (691 nucleotides) under Nicotiana benthamiana. RNAcentral's name for it is "long non-coding RNA (NBEN_LNC026521)". The record is from RNAcentral. Lineage: Eukaryota; Viridiplantae; Streptophyta; Magnoliopsida; Solanales; Solanaceae.